GACGAACGCUGGCGGCGUGCUUAACACAUGCAAGUCGAACGGAAAGGCCCUGCUCUUGUGGGGUGCUCGAGUGGCGAACGGGUGAGUAACACGUGAGUAACCUGCCCUUGACUUUGGGGUAACUUCAGGAAACUGGGGAUAAUACAGGAUAGGAGCUCCUGCUGCAUGGGGGGGGAUGGAAAGAUUCGGCGGUGGGGGAUGGACUCGAGGCUUAUCAGCUGGAUGGUCGGGUAGUGGCUGACCAAGGCUUCGACGGGUAGCCGGCCUGAGAGGUUGACCGGCCACCUUGCUCCUACGGUACGCCCCAGUCGCCUACGGGACGCAGCAGGGGGGAAUCUUGCACAGUGGGCCGACGCCUGUUGUAGCGGCGCCCCGUUCGUGAUGAUGGCCUUCGGGUUGUGAACCGCUUUCUACUUUGCCGAAGCGUUAGUGACGGUAAUGAGUAAAGAAGCACCGGCUAACUACGUG
This 468-nucleotide ribosomal RNA is filed under the name uncultured bacterium. RNAcentral's name for it is "partial 16S ribosomal RNA". It matches the Rfam family "Bacterial small subunit ribosomal RNA", at positions 28 to 507 of the family's 1533-position model. The record is from RNAcentral.